This is a long non-coding RNA of Carassius auratus (goldfish), 228 nucleotides long. RefSeq lists it as uncharacterized. The record is from RefSeq and is a predicted model, not a curated record. Lineage: Eukaryota; Metazoa; Chordata; Actinopteri; Cypriniformes; Cyprinidae. The transcript has 3 exons.
AAUUUACUGUAGUGUGGCAUUAUGGGAUUGCGCGCGCAUCAUUCAAAUUCAGAAACCCAGCCGACUAGAGCAGCUCGAGAACGAUUGAAGAUAAGAGGCUUUAUUCAUAAUUCCUGGUGCAAAGAAUAUCAGAUGAUGUGGAGAAAUGUUCGAUGCUUCAAGACUCUGAAGCUGAUUUUAUUAGGUCCACCCAGUGGCUAUUGACUAUUUGAGGGUCAGAUGGUUGUG